UUUCCGGUUGAUCUGCCGGACGUGACUGCUAUCGGAUUGAUACUAAGCCAUGUGAGUCAUUGCAGUAAUGCAAGGCAGACGGCUCAGUAACACGUAGUCAACUAACCUAUGGACGGGGAUAACCUCGGGAAACUGAGGAUAAUACCCGAUAGAUCAUAAUGCCUGGAAUGGCUUAUGGUCCAAAUGAUUCGUUGCCAUAGGAUGGGACUGCGGCCUAUCAGCUUGUUGGUGAGGUAGUGGCCCACCAAGGCUAUUACAGGUACGGGCUCUGAGAGGAGAAGCCCGGAGAUGGGUACUGAGACACGGACCCAGGUCCUAUGGGGCGCAGCAGGCGAGAAAACUUUGCAAUGUGCGCAAGCACGACAAGGUUAAUCCGAGUGAUUCCUGCUAAAGGAAUCUUUUGUUAGUUGUAAAACCACUGAUGAAUAAGGGGUGGGCAAGUUCUGGUGUCAGCCGCCGCGGUAAAACCAGCACCUCAAGUGGUCAGGAGGAUUAUUGGGCCUAAAGCAUCCGUAGUCUGUCCUGUAAGUUUCCGGUUAAAUCCAUUUGCUCAACAAAUGGGCUGCCGAAAAUACUGCAGGACUAGGGAGUGGGAGAGGUAGACGGUACUCGGUAGGAAGGGGUAAAAUCCUUUGAUCUAUUGAUGACCACCUGUGGCGAAGGCGGUCUACCAGAACACGUUCGACGGUGAGGGAUGAAAGCUGGGGGAGCAAACCGGAUUAGAUACCCGGGUAGUCCCAGCUGUAAACGAUGCAGACUCGGUGAUGCCCUGGCUUGUGGCCAGUGCAGUGCCGCAGGGAAGCCGUUAAGUUUGCCGCCUGGGAAGUACGUACGCAAGUAUGAAACUUAAAGGAAUUGGCGGGGGAGCACCACAAGGGGUGAAGCCUGCGGUUCAAUUGGAUUCAACGCCGGG
RNAcentral lists this ribosomal RNA (913 nucleotides) under uncultured archaeon. Its description in RNAcentral is "bacterial SSU rRNA". It matches the Rfam family "Archaeal small subunit ribosomal RNA", at positions 1 to 922 of the family's 1478-position model. The record is from RNAcentral.